GGGCAGGAAUAUACUUUGUAGUCGAAAGAAGUGGCGUGCCUCUUUUCGGAGAGACACGUCACAAUAUUCGAUGUGACAAAGAUUGUAAUCGCUACAAAAUUGGCCUGCUUAGGAUUAGAUAGUUGGUGGGACAAAAGCCUACCAAGUCUAUGAUCUUUAGUCGGUUUGGGAGAGCGACCGGCCACACUGGGACUGAGAAAGGCCCAGCGCGCCUCCGGCGCGCAGCAGUGAGGAAUAUUGGACAAUGGGCGCAAGCUUGAUCCAGCAAUUUUGCGUGAGUGAAGAAGACAUAAGUACAAU
This 300-nucleotide ribosomal RNA is filed under the name uncultured bacterium. RNAcentral describes it as "bacterial SSU rRNA". It matches the Rfam family "Bacterial small subunit ribosomal RNA", at positions 115 to 426 of the family's 1533-position model. The record is from RNAcentral.